This is a long non-coding RNA of Carassius carassius (crucian carp), 344 nucleotides long. RefSeq lists it as uncharacterized. The record is from RefSeq and is a predicted model, not a curated record. The transcript is spliced from 6 exons. Lineage: Eukaryota; Metazoa; Chordata; Actinopteri; Cypriniformes; Cyprinidae.
AAUCUGUCCUUUUUUUGUUGUUGAAUCACAAACAGAUGAAGAUGGCUGCAGCCACUGGAAGAGAUCAUGACAUUUGGCACUGGAAAUGGAUAACAUGAAGUACAGAUGAAUUAAAACCGAUCUAAGGAUUACCACUAGAAAAAGGGUGCCCUGAGAAGUGCAGAUGAAGACCGGUCCAGGGAUUGCCACUGGAAAAGGGUGACAUGGGAAGUGCAGAUGAAUAAAUGGUUCAAGGAUUGCCACUUGUGAAACCUGAGAAUUGCAGAUGAAGAGAGGUCCAAAGAUUACCACGAGGGGAAAAAAGGGUGACCAGAGAGGUAGAUAAAUGAAGUAUCUGGUUGCGU